GCCUUUGUAGCUCAGUGGUAGAGCACUUCCUUGGUAAGGAAGAGGUCGGCAGUCCGAUUCUGCUCAAAGGCU
This 72-nucleotide transfer RNA is filed under the name Arcicella aquatica. Its description in RNAcentral is "tRNA-Thr". It matches the Rfam family "tRNA". Rfam says of the family: Transfer RNA (tRNA) molecules are approximately 80 nucleotides in length. Their secondary structure includes four short double-helical elements and three loops (D, anti-codon, and T loops). Lineage: Bacteria; Pseudomonadati; Bacteroidota; Cytophagia; Cytophagales; Flectobacillaceae. The record is from RNAcentral. RNAcentral also lists the same sequence under 11 other names.